Molecule: ribosomal RNA, 708 nt
Filed under: Pseudomonadota bacterium
Lineage: Bacteria; Pseudomonadati; Pseudomonadota
Description: bacterial SSU rRNA
Rfam family: Bacterial small subunit ribosomal RNA
Source: RNAcentral
AUUGAACGCUGGCGGAAUGCUUUACACAUGCAAGUCGAACGGUAGAGGGGGCAACCCCUUGAGAGUGGCGAACGGGUGAGUAAUGUAUCGGAACGUGCCCAGUCGUGGGGGAUAACGUAGUGAAAAUUACGCUAAUACCGCAUACGAUCUAUGGAUGAAAGCGGGGGAUCGCAAGACCUCGCGCGAUUGGAGCGGCCGAUAUCAGAUUAGGUAGUUGGUGGGGUAAAGGCUCACCAAGCCAACGAUCUGUAGCUGGUCUGAGAGGACGACCAGCCACACUGGAACUGAGACACGGUCCAGACUCCUACGGGAGGCAGCAGUGGGGAAUUUUGGACAAUGGACGCAAGUCUGAUCCAGCCAUUCCGCGUGCAGGACGAAGGCCUUCGGGUUGUAAACUGCUUUUGUACGGAACGAAAAAGCUCUUAUUAAUACUAGGAGUCCAUGACGGUACCGUAAGAAUAAGCACCGGCUAACUACGUGCCAGCAGCCGCGGUAAUACGUAGGGUGCAAGCGUUAAUCGGAAUUACUGGGCGUAAAGCGUGCGCAGGCGGUUAUAUAAGACAGAUGUGAAAUCCCCGAGCUUAACUUGGGAACUGCAUUUGUGACUGUAUAGCUAGAGUACGGCAGAGGGGGAUGGAAUUCCGCGUGUAGCAGUGAAAUGCGUAGAUAUGCGGAGGAACACCGAUGGCGAAGGCAAUCCCCUGGGCC